GGAUGUUGCCGUGUAACAAACGGCUCGUCUGAAAUGCCUGAGUGUACCCUGCUUUGCAGCGUAUUCGGUGUGAUAAAUCUUUACCGGAGUUGACUUUUCAAGUCGCGCUUGUAGCUGUAGGCUCUAUGCUUCCAACUGUCCAACAAGACAAUCUUUGACAAUUUGACCUCAAAUCGGGUGGGACUACCCGCUGAACUUAA
RNAcentral lists this unclassified non-coding RNA (200 nucleotides) under soil metagenome. RNAcentral's name for it is "partial contains internal transcribed spacer 2 and large subunit ribosomal RNA". The record is from RNAcentral.